RNAcentral lists this long non-coding RNA (344 nucleotides) under Gopherus agassizii (Agassiz's desert tortoise). RNAcentral describes it as "lncRNA (ENSGAGG00000018272.1)". Lineage: Eukaryota; Metazoa; Chordata; Testudines; Testudinidae. The record is from RNAcentral.
AACACCAAUGCUUCAUCAUCCAAUGGAUCUCUGCCACCCCCAAAGAGUGUGCUACGAACAGUAUUUAACAUCCCGUGCCUUCUGAUAAUGGCCUUUGCCUUCCUCCCAAGAGCCUUCAUAAAGGCUUGUAUCUCCAUAAAAAACCUAAUCACCUUGCAGAAUGGCAAGAAAUUCUUCAAGAUCCUGCUGUUGCUGGUUCCAAUCAUUUAUGGUGAGUAUUCAUGGAAUUCAGGGGACAUAUAAAGGUCUAAUCUCAACUACCAGUUUAGAAACAAAAAUGCCUGCUUACUGAAUUAAUCUAAUUGCAUUGAUUUAGGGAUUCAUAUGACUAGAGCUCACUCUGC